Non-coding RNA from Sus scrofa (pig), 410 nucleotides. The record is from RefSeq and is a predicted model, not a curated record. Lineage: Eukaryota; Metazoa; Chordata; Mammalia; Artiodactyla; Suidae.
GGCUCGCGCCCUGACACGUGACUCCACGGCCCGUGCGGCGCGUAUCACGCAUGCGCAAGGCGAAGAGGGCGCGGCGCUCCAACAGGACUUCCUAAAUUUCUCUUCAUCUCCACAGCACCAGCAAGGGGCCUCACAUGGGCAGGUACUCAACAAAGAGUGCUGGGGCGGCCAGGGGCUCCUCGAGGCCACUUACCUUCCUGGCUACCAGCUGGAUGGCAUCACCCUCAAAGGCCUUUAAAUGCUGGAGUCGGGACAGCAGGAUCUGUUGCAACUGGCUAACUCCUUGGCCCGGCUUAGGGGUCUAUAUGGACAGCCUGAGAAGAACCCUACCAGUCGGCUGGACACCCGGUUCAUCAUGAUGCGCUCUGGCAGGUCCAUGGUGUUGGCAAUGGUCAGGACCACAAGCCGGG